AGGUAGAGAGACUCAUUCAGACCUGGGGACAUCAGGUAGAGAGACUCAUUCAGACCUGGGGACAUCAGGUAGGAAGAGAAAGCAGAAAUGUUUUGGCCCUCAGGACCUGAAUAAUACUUUGACAUUGAAACACAACAGCUAUACAUAACUAGGUGAAAGCAGACCUGACGCAACACACACACACACACAAUAAGCACACGCACACACACACACACACACACACACACACACACAAUAAGCACACUGUGGUAAGACUGUUUUGGGUUGCAUUUUGUCUGCAUUUAGCCAAUCUGUAACAAUCAGAAGAAUAAAAUACACAUCCAAACAUCUUGACCUUUCAACAAACAGCAAGAUGGAAAUGAACCUUGUGAAGGAAACAGCAACAUAAAGUGUUUUAAUAGGAGGUAACUGGCAGAAUAAAGGAAACUCCAGGUCCUCCACCAACCACCAGGUAACUGCCAGAAUAAAGGAAACUCCAACAUAGUGUUUUAAUAGGAGGUCGGGUCGUCCACCAGGUAACUGGCAGAAUAAAGGAAACUCCAACAGUGUUUUAAUAGGACGUCGGGUCGUCCACCAGGUAACUGGCAGAAUAAAGGAAACUCCAGGUCCUCCACCAACCACCAGGUAACUGGCAGAAUAAAGGAAACACCAACAGUGUUUUAAUAGGAGGUCGGGUCGUCCACCAGGUAACUGGCAGAAUAAAGGAAACUCCAGGUCCACCAACCACCAGGUAACUGGCAGAAUAAAGGAAACUCCAACAGUGUUUUAAUAGGAGGUCGGGUCGUCCACCAGGUAACUGGCAGAAUAAAGGAAACUCCAGGUCCUCCACCAACCACCAGGUAACUGGGAGAAUAAAGGAAACUCCAACAGUGUUUUAAUAGGACGUCGGGUCCUCCACCAACCAGAACAGCUUUAAUACACCUUGACAUCGAUUCUACAAGUGUCUGGGAAGUCUAUCGGAGGGAUGAGACGCCAUUCUUCCACGAGGAAAUUCCAUCAUUUGGUGUUUUGUUGAUGGUAUUGAAGCCACCUUGCAGCCAUUUUGGCUCUCCUUAAUGAUGUGUAUAAACCCUGGAUGGCUGACAGGGGGGUGCUGUAUUGAAGCCACCGUGCAGCCAUUUUGGCUCUCCUUAAUGAUGUGUAUAAACCCUGGAUGGCUGACAGGGGGGGGGCUGUAUUGCAGCCAUUUUGGCUCUCCUUAAUGAUGUGUAUAAACCCUGGAUGGCUGACAGGGGGGUGCUGUAUUGAAGCCACCGUGCAGCCAUUUUGGCUCUCCUUAAUGAUGUGUAUAAACCCUGGAUGGCUGACAGGGGGGUGCUGUAUUGAAGCCACCGUGCAGCCAUUUUGGCUCUCCUUAAUGAUGUGUAUAAACCCUGGAUGGCUGACAGGGGGUGCUGUAUUGCAGCCAUUUUGGCUCUCCUUAAUGAUGUGUAUAAACCCUGGAUGGCUGACAGGGGGGUGCUGUAUUGAAGCCAUUUUGGCUCUCCUUAAUGAUGUGUAUAAACCCUGGAUGGCUGACAGGGGGGUGCUCUAUUGCAGCCAUUUUGUCUCUCCUUAAUGAUGUGUAUAAACCCUGGAUGGCUGACAGGGGGGGGGCUGUAUUGAAGCCACCGUGCAGCCAUUUUGGCGCUCCUCCAUUGUAAAUAAUAUGUUGGACGAUAUAGAAAUCCAUUUACUAAAUGUCAUUACAUUAAUUUCUGACAUGUUUAUUCCAUUAAGACACCGUAAUGUAUAAUUUUACAUAUGUGAGCUAAACUAAAAUAUUUUUUUAGCGCCCCCCCCAACCCCUUUAAAAAUACUAAUGUUACUGUCCCCCACUACAAACAACAACAAAUACUUAAAUACAUGUAAUGUUGUUCUUGAAACCUUUAAUUGUAAUGCUGUAAACUUUCCAUUCAAUCCUAUGGAGGACUGUCAAAAUGGCCG
This 1926-nucleotide long non-coding RNA is filed under the name Salmo salar (Atlantic salmon). Its description in RNAcentral is "lncRNA (ENSSSAG00000091431.1)". Lineage: Eukaryota; Metazoa; Chordata; Actinopteri; Salmoniformes; Salmonidae. The record is from RNAcentral.